This 530-nucleotide ribosomal RNA is filed under the name uncultured bacterium. RNAcentral's name for it is "bacterial SSU rRNA". It matches the Rfam family "Bacterial small subunit ribosomal RNA", at positions 777 to 1304 of the family's 1533-position model. The record is from RNAcentral.
AAUAGAUACCCCGGUAGUCCACGCCGUAAACGAUGAGUGCUAAGUGUUAGAGGGUUUCCGCCCUUUAGUGCUGCAGCAAACGCAUUAAGCACUCCGCCUGGGGAGUACGGCCGCAAGGCUGAAACUCAAAGGAAUUGACGGGGGCCCGCACAAGCGGUGGAGCAUGUGGUUUAAUUCGAAGCAACGCGAAGAACCUUACCAGGUCUUGACAUCUCCUGACAACCCUAGAGAUAGGGCGUUCCCCUUCGGGGGACAGGAUGACAGGUGGUGCAUGGUUGUCGUCAGCUCGUGUCGUGAGAUGUUGGGUUAAGUCCCGCAACGAGCGCAACCCUUGAUCUUAGUUGCCAGCAUUCAGUUGGGCACUCUAAGGUGACUGCCGGUGACAAACCGGAGGAAGGUGGGGAUGACGUCAAAUCAUCAUGCCCCUUAUGACCUGGGCUACACACGUGCUACAAUGGAUGGUACAAAGGGCUGCGAGACCGCGAGGUUAAGCGAACUCCCAUAAAACCAUUCUCAGUUCGGAUUGCAGG